UGUAGGUGGAAGCAGUGGUGGAGGAGGAGGAUGAGGUAGCUAACACUGUUUUAUAUAUAUAUAUAUAUAUAUAUAUAUAUAUCAAUAAAAGAUUUUAAUUGUGGUAGCCCCAAAAUAUUGGGACAUAUAAAAAAAGACAGAGUAGCUGUUGACAUUAUAGUUGCGCAGGCACUUUGUUGACUCUAGAGAACCUCGGGCCAAUCGCACAUCCCCGUGGCAGCGACUUUGUAUGCGGAUGUCAUCCACAUCAACUUUCGAUGCAAGUUUCUGCGCCUACCAUAGUGACCACAGGUAAUCGGGAAUCAGGGCUCCAUUCCGUACAGGGACCCUGAGAAAUGGCUACCACAUGCAAGGAAGGCAGCA
Pelobates cultripes (western spadefoot toad) is the source of this 363-nucleotide non-coding RNA. The record is from the annotation of a GenBank genome assembly. NCBI's taxonomy places the organism in Eukaryota, Metazoa, Chordata, Amphibia, Anura, Pelobatidae.